AGGUCUGGAAAGGCCAACCACAGAAGGUAACAGUCCUGUAGGUGAAAAUUUGAAGGUAUGAGAGAGAGCACCCGAGUACUGCGAGACACGAGAAACCUCGUAGGAAUCUGUGAGGACCACCUCAUAAGGCUAAAUACUCCUUGGCAACCGAUAGUGAACUAGUACCGUGAGGGAAAGGUGAAAAGCACCCCGGGAGGGGAGUGAAAAAGAACCUGAAACCGUAUGCUUACAAGCAGUAGGAGCACGAUUAAACGUGUGACUGCGUACUUUUUGUAGAACGGACCGGCGAGUUAUGUUAUGUUGCGAGGUUAAGCACCGUAAGAGGUGUGAAGCCGAAGCGAAAGCGAGUCUUAAAAGGGCGAGAAGUAACAUGACGUAGACCCGAAACCGGGUGAUCUACCCAUGGGCAGGGUGAAGCGGAAGUAAAAUUUCGUGGAGGCCCGAACCGACUGUCGUUGAAAAGCCAGCGGAUGACCUGUGGGUAGGGGUGAAAUGCCAAUCGAACCCGGAGAUAGCUGGUUCUCCCCGAAAUAGCUUUAGGGCUAGCCUCAAGGUAGAAGAUUUGUGGAGGUAGAGCACUGAUUAGGCUAGGGGCCCUAUCAGGUUACCGAACCUUGUCAAACUCCGAAUGCCACAAAUUAUACUUGGGAGUCAGACUGCGGGUGCUAAGAUUCGUAGUCGAGAGGGAAACAGCCCAGACCAACAGCUAAGGUCCCAAAGUACGGACUAAGUGGAAAAGGAUGUAGAGUUGCAUAGACAACCAGGAUGUUGGCUUAGAAGCAGCCACCAUUUAAAGAGUGCGUAAUAGCUCACUGGUCAAGUGGCUCUGCGCCGAAAAUGUAACGGGGCUAAAGUCCGCCACCGAAGCUUUGGAUGUUAACGUAAUCUUAAUGCUUUUAAAUAAAGCCAAGAGAUAUAGGAAGAGUAACAUUUCGUCGAAAUCGCCAUUAGCGGUUUAAUAUAAAUAAAAAGAGAUUUCGACCAAAUGGUUUUAGGGGAUAAAGUCCCUAAGAAAUUGAAGAUGUUAAGAUUACGUUAACAUGGUAGGGGAGCGUUCUUAGGUCGUAGAAGCAUGACCGAAAGGACAUGUGGAGAGCUAAGAAGAGAGAAUGCCGGUAUGAGUAUGCGAGAAAGAGGUGAGAAACCUCUUCACCGGAAGCCUAAGGUUUCCUGGGGAAGGCUCGUCCGCCCAGGGUAAGUCGGGACCUAAGCCGAGGCGUAAAGCGUAGGCGAUGGACAAUCGGUUGAGAUUCCGAUACCACCAUAUAACCGUUUGAAGGAAGUGGUGACACAGGAGGGUAGGUUAAGCGCACCGUUGGUCGAGUGCGUCCAAGCCAGUAGGAGGUAGAGGCAGGCAAAACCGCCUCUAUGCUAACUCCAAGAGGUAACGGGGAGCGAAAAUAAGUAGCGAACUAACUGAGCCCACACUGUCAAGAAAAGCCACUAACGAGGUUAUGAGGUGCCCGUACCGCAAACCGACACAGGUAGGCAGGGAGAGAAUCCUAAGGUGAGCGAGAGAACCCUUGUUAAGGAACUCGGCAAAAUGACCCCGUAACUUAGGGAUAAGGGGAGCCUCAUGUAGGGUAGGUAUUUAAGCAAAUACUGGCUCGAAGAGGCCGCAGAGAAUUGGCCCAAGCGACUGUUUAGCAAAAACACAGGUACCUGCUAAGGAGAAAUCCGAAGUAUAGGCGCUGACGCCUGCCCGGUGCUGGAAGGUUAAGGGGAGAGGUGCAAGCCUUGAACUGAAGCCCCAGUAAACGGCGGCCGUAACUAUAACGGUCCUAAGGUAGCGAAAUUCCUUGUCGGGUAAGUUCCGACCCGCACGAAAGGCGUAACGAUUUGGGCACUGUCUCAACAGGGGGCUCGGCGAAAUUGUAGUACCCGUGAAGAUGCGGGUUACCUGCGGCAGGACAGAAAGACCCCGUGGAGCUUUACUGCAGCCUGAUAUUGGGCUUUGGCAUGUUAUGUACAGGAUAGGUGGGAGACUGAGAUACUAGGGCGCCAGCCUUGGAGGAGUCAAUGGUGGGAUACCACUCUUAACAUGCUAGGGUUCUAACCAGUAUCCAUGAAACUGGAUAUGGGACAGUGUCAGGUGGGCAGUUUGACUGGGGCGGUCGCCUCCCAAAAAGUAACGGAGGCGCCCAAAGGUUCGUUCAGCACGGAUGGAAAUCGUGCGUAGAGUGUAAAGGCAGAAACGAGCUUAACUGCGAGACAGACAAGUCGAGCAGAUACGAAAGUAGGGCUUAGUGAUCCGGCGGUACCGAGUGGAAGGGCCGUCGCUCAACGGAUAAAAGCUACCCCGGGGAUAACAGGCUUAUCUCCCCCAAGAGUCCAUAUCGACGGGGAGGUUUGGCACCUCGAUGUCGGCUCAUCGCAUCCUGGGGCUGAAGUAGGUCCCAAGGGUUGGGCUGUUCGCCCAUUAAAGCGGUACGUGAGCUGGGUUCAGAACGUCGUGAGACAGUUCGGUCCCUAUCCGCCGCAGGCGCAGGAGAUUUGAGAGGAAUUGCCCCUAGUACGAGAGGACCGGGGUGAACAAACCUCUGGUGCACCAGUUGUCGUGCCAACGGCACAGCUGGGUAGCUAAGUUUGGCAGGGAUAAGUGCUGAAAGCAUCUAAGCACGAAGCCCCCCUCAAGAUAAGAUUUCCCACUGGCAAACCAGGUAAGACACCUGAGAGAACAUCAGGUAGAUAGGCCGGAGGUGUAAGGGCAGUAAUGUCUUUAGCUGACCGGUACUAAUAAGUCGAGGGCUUGAUCUA
This 2757-nucleotide ribosomal RNA is filed under the name Desulfitibacter alkalitolerans DSM 16504. RNAcentral describes it as "bacterial LSU rRNA". It matches the Rfam family "Bacterial large subunit ribosomal RNA", at positions 338 to 2925 of the family's 2925-position model. The record is from RNAcentral. Lineage: Bacteria; Bacillati; Bacillota; Clostridia; Neomoorellales; Desulfitibacteraceae.